This 249-nucleotide long non-coding RNA is filed under the name Homo sapiens (human). RNAcentral describes it as "non-protein coding lnc-FSHR-1:1". The record is from RNAcentral. Lineage: Eukaryota; Metazoa; Chordata; Mammalia; Primates; Hominidae.
AUGUGGAAUCAGUGCUUACUAGGCAGCCAGACGGGCAGCAUUAAAGCUUUGGGGACGUGGGUGCUUAAGGAGAAGAAACAGCCAAAAGGAAAUGAAGGAGCAUUAAACAGCAACCCAGCCAUGUCACGUGACUCACACUCCUCCUGCGCCAGAGCCCAGUGUGAGCCCCUGUCUGACAGUCAGUCACAGAGGACCCAGCAGCAAGGCAUGAUUAUCAACAGAAAUCAGCUUAGCAAAAUGCAGCUGUAA